AGAGCGAACGUUAGCGGCGGGCCUAACACAUGCAAGUCGCACGAGAAUUGGGCUUCGGCCCAUAGUAAAGUGGCGGACGGGUGAGUAACACGUGAAUAAUCUGCCCUUGAAUGGGGGAUAACAGUCCGAAAGGAUUGCUAAUACCGCAUAAGUCGGCCGGGUCUUCGGAUCUGGUCGGGAAAGCCGGCCUCUCCAUGGAAGCUGGCGUUCGAGGAUGAGUUCGCGGCCCAUCAGCUAGUUGGUAGGGUAAUGGCCUACCAAGGCGAAGACGGGUAGCUGGUCUGAGAGGAUGAUCAGCCACACUGGGACUGAGACACGGCCCAGACUUCUACGGAAGGCAGCAGUGGGGAAUAUUGGGCAAUGGGCGCAAGCCUGACCCAGCCACGCCGCGUGAGUGAUGAAGGCCUUCGGGUCGUAAAGCUCUGUGGGGAGGGACGAAAAACCUGCCAGCUAAUCAUGGCGGGCCUGACGGUACCUCCUUAGCAAGCACCGGCUAACUCCGUGCCAGCAGCCGCGGUAA
This 520-nucleotide ribosomal RNA is filed under the name uncultured delta proteobacterium. RNAcentral describes it as "bacterial SSU rRNA". It matches the Rfam family "Bacterial small subunit ribosomal RNA", at positions 26 to 523 of the family's 1533-position model. Lineage: Bacteria; Deltaproteobacteria. The record is from RNAcentral.